CAAUUGGAAAGCACCGUCAUAGAUAUGGCGUCACCCUUCCCUUUAAACAUGGUUUUGUGAAGUGUCUCCACCUAUGUUAAUCAAUUUGCAGUCACCGUAUUUGCGUUUGAAAGGUAACUAUUUUGGGCUUCUUUUAUGCUUCUCGGUUCAAAAAACCUCAAGUGCCUCAAAAAGCGAAAAGACGUCCAUGGGUGGGCUUGAACCACCAACCUUUCGGUUAACAGCCG
Molecule: non-coding RNA, 227 nt
Organism: Pelobates cultripes (western spadefoot toad)
Lineage: Eukaryota; Metazoa; Chordata; Amphibia; Anura; Pelobatidae
Source: the annotation of a GenBank genome assembly